RNAcentral lists this ribosomal RNA (518 nucleotides) under uncultured bacterium. RNAcentral's name for it is "bacterial SSU rRNA". It matches the Rfam family "Bacterial small subunit ribosomal RNA", at positions 102 to 655 of the family's 1533-position model. The record is from RNAcentral.
ACGGGUGAGUAACGCGUGGGAAUCUACCCAUCUCUACGGAACAACUCCGGGAAACUGGAGCUAAUACCGUAUACUUCCUUCCGGAGAAAGAUUUAUCGGAGAUGGAUGACCCCGCAUUGGAUUAUCUAGUUGGUGGGGUAAUGGCCUACCGAGGCGACUAUCCAUAGCUGGUCUGAGAGGAUGAUCAGCCACGCUGGGACUGAGACACGGCCCAGACUCCUACGGGAGGCAGCAGUGGGGAAUAUUGGACAAUGGGCGCAAGCCUGAUCCAACCAUGCCGCGUGAGUGAUGAAGGCCCUAGGGUUGUAAAGCUCUUUCAACGGUGAAUAUUAUGACAGUAACCGUAGAAGAAGCCCCGGCUAACUUCGUGCCAGCAGCCGCGGUAAUACCAAGGGGGCUAGCGUUGUUCGGAAUUACUGGGCGUAAAGCGCACGUAGGCGGAUACUUAAGUCAGGGGUGAAAUCCCGGGGCUCAACCCCGGAACUGCCUUUGAUACUGGGUAUCUCGAGUCCGGAAGA